ACCAGAUAGAAGAAAAAGCUUUAAAUCCAAACAGACUUUAGGGAAAGACACGAGUCCAAGCAACCAUCUACUUAAAGGGGAAACUGUAUUCAUGUGUUCAGGAUAUGAGGGGCAAGAUCAUUUUAAACCAAGUAUUACAUCUAAAACACAUCGCAGAUGACAAAAAUCAUUGUUCUAGGUGGCAUCUUUCCUGCCUGAGUCUGAAAUGUGAGUGAUUGUCUUGAAAAGUCUAUCAUUCUCCACACAGGGCUUCUUCUAAUGGAACAGGAAAAAAACAAAAAGACAGAACAAAAAACAGAACAAGCCUCGGACCAAAGCCAGGAUAGAAGGGGUGAAAGACGGAGACAUCCUGGUGUUCAGGGCUGAAGAAUCCCCAUUUGCUGUCUGACACUGUUCCUUUUUUCCUCCUGGAGGUUGGAUGGUGGCUGCUGUUGUGGCAAAUGCUGGGCAAAGACUAAAGCUUUCUACAAUGUCCGAACCUCGAGGACUACAAAUGUUUCGAGCCCCGAACAUCAAAUCUUCCAUCUACUGCUGUCAGAUGUCUUGGGGAUUUUCAGAACUCUGAGGAUAGUAGUUUCCCAGGGGAUCUUAUCUCAAUGAAGUAAAAUUUUGAGGCUCCAAUGCUCCUGGACUUUCAGAGGUUUGGGGUAAGUCCCAGCUGCACGUUCAACCAGCUUCAGACCUCAGCAGUUUCUAGUUCUAGGAAUCCAAGUUUCUUCAUUGCUAAAGUGGGAAUAAUAGAACUUUGCUAACAAUCAGACUGUUGUGACAAGCAAGUGAGGUAAACAUCAAGGACUUUGGCACCGUGCCUGGCACAGACGAGACUUAAUGAGUGGUGGAUAUGUUUAUGGUUAUCACAGUAUUCUUAACAUUAAACCUCUGUACAGAAACCGAAAUAUUCUUACCACACGCUAAUCUAUUUUAAAUAAAUUGGUCUAGAGAAGAAAUUUCCUUAGUCCUGCCAACUCCAUCUGACGCAGCUCUGUAAGGAGUAAUCGUUUUGUAGGCGUGCUACAAAACAGAAAUAGAGUGUGAGUCUCAUGUGUAGCUUAAAAUGGCUACUAGCUGUUUCAACAGAAGCAAAGAAAACGUGAGAUUAAUCUCAACAUGCAUUUUUUUCUCUUAAAUUUAACUUGUUCUCAAUGAAAGUUGUGUUUAAGAAUCACUCUAAUCCCAAAUCAUCUCAGUGUGUCCCAUAGAGUGGCUUUUUUCUUUCCCUAUUUGGCAGGCUUGACUCUCCAUUGCUUUUUCCUACCGUUCUCCAGUCUCACCUGGUGACAGCCAUCUUGCCAGGGUGAAUGCCCACAUGGACAGCUAGCUGUGCCAUUAACCUUUUCCUGCUGUUCCCAUUAAAUAUAAAGGACAUUUUUUUUCUUCCUUGGAACCUGGACUGCUUUGCUAGUCUGCUGACCCUUCACGUCCUCUCACAACCAGAGCUUCAUUCUUUAGGACGGGUGGGGAUUGGGCAUGAUACCUCUGUUGCAAGUCUCUGGAAAGAGGAGGAGACACAGCCCUCCUUGAGUGUGAAUGGUGUGCUGAAAUGCUUUUCCGGGCUCCUGCUUUAGCAGGAAUUCCCAGGAGCCUGAACAUCACUUGGCAGCUUCUGCUCCAGCAAUGGAUGGACCAGGGAAGGAUGACGUACUCUGCUCAAUCCAGCGCAAUAGAAUAGUAUUAUUGCAAUAUAAAACCAAUAUAAGUGGUUGUUCAUGCAACACCGUGUGUUUGGGAGAAGACUGUUUCAAAACCCAAUGUGUGUUCUACUUAUAAAGGGAAUAUCUCAGUUACUGACUGAAUUGUAACUAUCACUGGGCACCAUAACUUCAUAGCAUUACAUGGAAAACUCCUGCCUCAUCAAGAAACCCUAUGAUGUCAGACACCCACACAACGCAACCGGUAUUAUAGGACAAUAUGCUUCUCUGAAGAUGAUUUACAUUGAGCUACCAGACUUAGGUUCUGCUCUUGGUAUUGCCCUCCACUUGGUUGGGAUCAUCCUGGGAUUUUAACUGGGUCACAAGGCCAUAAAACAUGAUCAGUCUCUCAAACUGAUCUGCUUUAUUACUAAUUUCUCCUAUUGCAUAAGUGACAAGUCACCUGCAUUAUUUUACUUCAGAAACUUAUUAUCUUUCCGUGGUGGGGAGGCAGCUGAAUAGGACUCUCCUUCGCAUGUUCAAUAACCCGGAAGUGAAUUGUCUCCCGAAGGCCAUAUUUCCCUUAUGUAACCAACCCACAACACCAUUUCUUCCCUACUCUUUCAGUUUAGCACCCAUCUUGCAGAAGACGGGACUUUUGCUCAGGAACACAACCUGAGUCUUAAAUGUAUAACACAUGGACUAACUUUAUUCUGACCUUAACCCCGGGCCACUGGAACAGCAUCCAACCAAGUUAUUUCAGCCAUCGAGGUUGAUUUGUGAUCAAGGCCCAGACGGUUUCUACCAUCCCCCUGCUUUCUCAGCUCAAAGCUGCAUUUUCUGUUGCUUAAAAAUUUGCAUAUUUUCUCAGUGCCUGUUUCUGAUUCACAAUAAACAAUGCUCAGACCUCCUGCCAAAAAAAUGUCCAAGCGCGAAAUAGUUGCUAUAAUAGUCGUUUUUGUGAUGGCAACUUUGAGCUGUAUGCUUUUAAAUUAUAAUUACUUUUUUUUUCCUACAAAAGAUGUGUAUCUGUCUUGAUUGCUGUGAUUAUGAUUCUAUACCCACAAACAGUUAUAAAAGGCUCAUGUCAUGGCUGUGCCUCAUGAAACCCUUGCUUUUCAGUAAGCAUCCUCUGGUGACCGUAUUAUGCUUGUGUUUAAUUUGCGGCUGAGGAACCUAAUGAGAAGCUAUUAAUCAUUGAACGUGUAUAUAAAAAUGUGUGUCCCUAAAUAAACAGACCAAAGAGGAGAUGCAAGCCCA
Molecule: non-coding RNA, 2888 nt
Organism: Rattus norvegicus (Norway rat)
Lineage: Eukaryota; Metazoa; Chordata; Mammalia; Rodentia; Muridae
Source: RefSeq, a predicted model, not a curated record